UACGGAGGAUGCGAGCGUUAUCCGGAUUUAUUGGGUUUACAGGGUGCGUAGGCGGACUGUCAAGUCAGCGGUAAAAUUGAGAGGCUCAACCUCUUCCCGCCGUUGAAACUGGUGGUCUUGAGUGGAUGAGAAGUACGCGGAAUGCGUGGUGUAGCGGUGAAAUGCAUAGAUAUCACGCAGAACUCCGAUUGCGAAGGCAGCGUACCGGCAUCCAACUGACGCUGAGGCACGAAAGCGUGGGGAUCAAACAGG
This 252-nucleotide ribosomal RNA is filed under the name uncultured bacterium. Its description in RNAcentral is "partial 16S ribosomal RNA". It matches the Rfam family "Bacterial small subunit ribosomal RNA", at positions 524 to 776 of the family's 1533-position model. The record is from RNAcentral.